Molecule: ribosomal RNA, 536 nt
Filed under: uncultured bacterium
Lineage: Bacteria
Description: partial 16S ribosomal RNA
Rfam family: Bacterial small subunit ribosomal RNA
Source: RNAcentral
UGGGGAAUAUUGCACAAUGGGCGCAAGCCUGAUGCAGCAACGCCGCGUGAGGGAUGACGGCCUUCGGGUUGUAAACCUCUUUUAGCAGGGAAGAAGCGAAAGUGACGGUACCUGCAGAAAAAGCACCGGCUAACUACGUGCCAGCAGCCGCGGUAAUACGUAGGGUGCAAGCGUUGUCCGGAAUUAUUGGGCGUAAAGAGCUCGUAGGCGGUCUGUCGCGUCUGCUGUGAAAUCCCGAGGCUCAACCUCGGGCCUGCAGUGGGUACGGGCAGACUAGAGUGCGGUAGGGGAGAAUGGAACUCCUGGUGUAGCGGUGGAAUGCGCAGAUAUCAGGAAGAACACCGAUGGCGAAGGCAGUUCUCUGGGCCGUAACUGACGCUGAGGAGCGAAAGCGUGGGGAGCGAACAGGAUUAGAUACCCUGGUAGUCCACGCCGUAAACGUUGGGCGCUAGAUGUGGGGCACCAUUCCACGGUUUCCGUGUCGCAGCUAACGCAUUAAGCGCCCCGCCUGGGGCAGUACGGCCGCAAGGCUAAAA